UGUCUUUACAAAAAAUAAUUG
Molecule: non-coding RNA, 21 nt
Filed under: Caenorhabditis elegans
Lineage: Eukaryota; Metazoa; Nematoda; Chromadorea; Rhabditida; Rhabditidae
Source: RNAcentral